RNAcentral lists this ribosomal RNA (301 nucleotides) under uncultured bacterium. Its description in RNAcentral is "partial 16S ribosomal RNA". It matches the Rfam family "Bacterial small subunit ribosomal RNA", at positions 509 to 807 of the family's 1533-position model. The record is from RNAcentral.
CAGUCGCCGCGGUAAUACAGAGGGUGCGAGCGUUAAUCGGAUUUACUGGGCGUAAAGCGUGCGUAGGCGGCUUUUUAAGUCGGAUGUGAAAUCCCUGAGCUUAACUUAGGAAUUGCAUUCGAUACUGGGAAGCUAGAGUAUGGGAGAGGAUGGUAGAAUUCCAGGUGUAGCGGUGAAAUGCGUAGAGAUCUGGAGGAAUACCGAUGGCGAAGGCAGCCAUCUGGCCUAAUACUGACGCUGAGGUACGAAAGCAUGGGGAGCAAACAGGAUUAGAUACCCCCGUAGUUCCUGUCUCUUAUAC